Molecule: ribosomal RNA, 2048 nt
Filed under: Salmonella enterica
Lineage: Bacteria; Pseudomonadati; Pseudomonadota; Gammaproteobacteria; Enterobacterales; Enterobacteriaceae
Also listed under: 3 other names
Description: partial 23S ribosomal RNA
Rfam family: Bacterial large subunit ribosomal RNA
Source: RNAcentral
GAGCACUGUUUCGGCUAGGGGGCCAUCCCGGCUUACCAACCCGAUGCAAACUGCGAAUACCGGAGAAUGUUAUCACGGGAGACACACGGCGGGUGCUAACGUCCGUCGUGAAGAGGGAAACAACCCAGACCGCCAGCUAAGGUCCCAAAGUCAUGGUUAAGUGGGAAACGAUGUGGGAAGGCCCAGACAGCCAGGAUGUUGGCUUAGAAGCAGCCAUCAUUUAAAGAAAGCGUAAUAGCUCACUGGUCGAGUCGGCCUGCGCGGAAGAUGUAACGGGGCUAAACCAUGCACCGAAGCUGCGGCAGCGACGCUGAUGCGUUGUUGGGUAGGGGAGCGUUCUGUAAGCCUGCGAAGGUGGCCUGUGAGGGUUGCUGGAGGUAUCAGAAGUGCGAAUGCUGACAUAAGUAACGAUAAAGCGGGUGAAAAGCCCGCUCGCCGGAAGACCAAGGGUUCCUGUCCAACGUUAAUCGGGGCAGGGUGAGUCGACCCCUAAGGCGAGGCCGAAAGGCGUAGUCGAUGGGAAACGGGUUAAUAUUCCCGUACUUGGUGUUACUGCGAAGGGGGGACGGAGAAGGCUAUGUUGGCCGGGCGACGGUUGUCCCGGUUUAAGCGUGUAGGUGUGUGUUCCAGGUAAAUCCGGUUCACUUUAACACUGAGGCGUGAUGACGAGGCACUACGGUGCUGAAGCAACAAAUGCCCUGCUUCCAGGAAAAGCCUCUAAGCAUCAGGUAACAUCAAAUCGUACCCCAAACCGACACAGGUGGUCAGGUAGAGAAUACCAAGGCGCUUGAGAGAACUCGGGUGAAGGAACUAGGCAAAAUGGUGCCGUAACUUCGGGAGAAGGCACGCUGACACGUAGGUGAAGUGAUUUACUCAUGGAGCUGAAGUCAGUCGAAGAUACCAGCUGGCUGCAACUGUUUAUUAAAAACACAGCACUGUGCAAACACGAAAGUGGACGUAUACGGUGUGACGCCUGCCCGGUGCCGGAAGGUUAAUUGAUGGGGUCAGCGCAAGCGAAGCUCCUGAUCGAAGCCCCGGUAAACGGCGGCCGUAACUAUAACGGUCCUAAGGUAGCGAAAUUCCUUGUCGGGUAAGUUCCGACCUGCACGAAUGGCGUAAUGAUGGCCAGGCUGUCUCCACCCGAGACUCAGUGAAAUUGAACUCGCUGUGAAGAUGCAGUGUACCCGCGGCAAGACGGAAAGACCCCGUGAACCUUUACUAUAGCUUGACACUGAACAUUGAGCCUUGAUGUGUAGGAUAGGUGGGAGGCUUUGAAGUGUGGACGCCAGUCUGCAUGGAGCCGGCCUUGAAAUACCACCCUUUAAUGUUUGAUGUUCUAACGUGGACCCGUGAUCCGGGUUGCGGACAGUGUCUGGUGGGUAGUUUGACUGGGGCGGUCUCCUCCUAAAGAGUAACGGAGGAGCACGAAGGUUGGCUAAUCCUGGUCGGACAUCAGGAGGUUAGUGCAAUGGCAUAAGCCAGCUUGACUGCGAGCGUGACGGCGCGAGCAGGUGCGAAAGCAGGUCAUAGUGAUCCGGUGGUUCUGAAUGGAAGGGCCAUCGCUCAACGGAUAAAAGGUACUCCGGGGAUAACAGGCUGAUACCGCCCAAGAGUUCAUAUCGACGGCGGUGUUUGGCACCUCGAUGUCGGCUCAUCACAUCCUGGGGCUGAAGUAGGUCCCAAGGGUAUGGCUGUUCGCCAUUUAAAGUGGUACGCGAGCUGGGUUUAGAACGUCGUGAGACAGUUCGGUCCCUAUCUGCCGUGGGCGCUGGAGAACUGAGGGGGGCUGCUCCUAGUACGAGAGGACCGGAGUGGACGCAUCACUGGUGUUCGGGUUGUCAUGCCAAUGGCACUGCCCGGUAGCUAAAUGCGGAAGAGAUAAGUGCUGAAAGCAUCUAAGCACGAAACUUGCCCCGAGAUGAGUUCUCCCUGAGACUUAGAGUCUCCUGAAGGAACGUUGAAGACGACGACGUUGAUAGGCCGGGUGUGUAAGCGCAGCGAUGCGUUGAGCUAACCGGUACUAAUGAACCGUGAGGCUUAACCUUACA